This 139-nucleotide small nucleolar RNA is filed under the name Setaria italica (foxtail millet). Its description in RNAcentral is "Small nucleolar RNA Z247". It matches the Rfam family "Small nucleolar RNA Z247". From Rfam's summary of the family: Z247 is a member of the C/D class of snoRNA which contain the C (UGAUGA) and D (CUGA) box motifs. Most of the members of the box C/D family function in directing site-specific 2'-O-methylation of substrate RNAs. The record is from Rfam by way of RNAcentral. Lineage: Eukaryota; Viridiplantae; Streptophyta; Magnoliopsida; Poales; Poaceae.
AAAGUUGAAGAUGACGAGAUGAUUUCCAAUAUCCUGAAUGAUCUUGAUUAUGAAUACAAUACUUUUGCCUCUUCAAUUCUUGGUCGUUCUGAUCCCAUCUCCAUGAAUGAUCUGUUCUCCCAAUUAUUGGCAUAUGAUC